RNAcentral lists this small nuclear RNA (269 nucleotides) under Callithrix jacchus (white-tufted-ear marmoset). RNAcentral describes it as "7SK RNA". It matches the Rfam family "7SK RNA". Rfam says of the family: 7SK was discovered as an abundant small nuclear RNA in the mid-70s but a possible function has only recently been suggested. Two independent studies have found that 7SK RNA binds the CDK9/cyclin T complex (known as elongation factor P-TEFb). The record is from Rfam by way of RNAcentral. Lineage: Eukaryota; Metazoa; Chordata; Mammalia; Primates; Cebidae.
AGAUGUGAGGGUGAUCUGGCUGUGAGACCUGUUACCCCAUGGAUGGCCAGGGUUGACUUGGCUGAUCCGGCUGGCUGGGUGGGAGUCCCCUUCCUCCUUCUCGCUCCACGUGCGUCCCUCCCAAAGUUGUGCACUGGCUCCAAGAGGAGGAGGACCCGUCUUUGGUCCAGGGUAUAUGAGUAGCCAUGCUCCCCUGCUAGACCUCCAAACAUACUCUCAAGAAUAAGCUAUAUUCUAUCACAAGGUUUAUCUUUUUUUUUCCAGCAGCU